This 301-nucleotide ribosomal RNA is filed under the name uncultured bacterium. RNAcentral describes it as "partial 16S ribosomal RNA". It matches the Rfam family "Bacterial small subunit ribosomal RNA", at positions 509 to 807 of the family's 1533-position model. The record is from RNAcentral.
CAGCAGCCGCGGGAAAACGUAGGGUGCAAGCGUUAAUCGGAAUUACUGGGCGUAAAGCGUGCGCAGGCGGUUUGUUAAGACAGAUGUGAAAUCCCCGGGCUCAACCUGGGAACUGCAUUUGUGUCUGGCAAGCUAGAGUAUGGCAGAGGGGGGUGGAAUUCCGCGUGUAGCAGUGAAAUGCGUAGAUAUGCGGAGGAACACCGAUGGCGAAGGCAGCCCCCUGGGCCAAUACUGACGCUCAUGCACGAAAGCGUGGGGAGCAAACAGGAUUAGAGACCCCCGUAGUCCCUGUCUCUUAUAC